UUAAGACUUCCUACUUUAGAAAAAAGAAGAUUCCAGCCAGUGGUUCCGGCGCCACUAUUAAAAAACCAUUGUUUUUGGGAUUAUAUUUAUCCUUUCUGGAUAAUCUUAAGGAAGAUGCUUCAAGAUCACAAGGGAAUUGAAGGCUAAUGUUAAAAGUUUGCAAAAAAUGUGCAGAGGCAGACAUAAUCAAUAUCAACAAGGCGAUAGAAAAGUUAUCUUUUACUGAACAAAUUUCAGUCCAAAAUUGCUUUGAAGCAUCAAAGAAAAAAGUUUGAAAGGCAUGAAGUAUACAACGCAAUGGGUGUACGAAUGUUUACUCUUAAACAUUUAAAGCAAAAAAGCUUAUAAUCACAUAAGAAAACGUCGAAUCCUUGUUUUACCGCAUCCAUCAACAUUGAAGCGUUAUAUUAAAAAAAUUUUUGUUUGCUAUUGUUUCCAAUCUAGCAUUUUUAGUAUAUUAAGCAAAGAAAUAUAGGUGAUGAAAGCCAAUGAAACACGUGGUGUACUUUUGUCGACGAAAUGAAGUUGUCAAAAUCGUUAGCUUUUAAUCGACGUAACCUUAAAGUUGAAGGAUUUACAAAUCUUGGAAAAUAUACACCCGAAAAACAAAAGGAAAAGAAAGGCGAUCACUCCUUAAUUCUUAUGUACUAGCCAUUUAAAGGGAAAUGGAUGCAAGCCUUAAGAUGUUUUUUUAUGCACAGGAAGCUACAUUUUAUUAUGAAUUCAAUUAAUUCUACAUUUAAUGAAUUCAAUUUACAAAAAAGUUACUUUAUUUGAAAACAAAUCAAAUAUUUAUUUAAUGUACAAUCAGACUUUUCGUUUUUCAAAUAAUAAUCCAUCUAUUCUUUUUUACAUUCUAUUCAUUUCAAGACAAUUUCAUGUUAAGGAAAAGUUCGUAUCAAUGUGAAGUUUUAUUCUACAAGCAUUCGUUUUUGAAUUUUCGGAAAAACUGACAGACUUUGGCAAAUUUUAUAAACUGUCUAAAGACAGAUGGAGUUGUAACUUUUUAAGUUCUCGUCAAAAUAUUUAAAUUGAAAAUCUCCAGAACUUUCUAAAAAAAAUAUUGAGAUUUUCAAGCUAAAACCAGAAUUCAGUUUCGAAACUAGAAAAGUAGAAAACAACAACUAAAGAAAUUCAAGAAUACAAAGACGAUUAAAUUCUUUUUCCAACUCCUUCUCUUCAAUCUUUUAUUGGCACUAUUAUAAGUACAUUGGUAGUUUUACAUA
Long non-coding RNA from Leptopilina heterotoma, 1226 nucleotides. RefSeq lists it as uncharacterized. Lineage: Eukaryota; Metazoa; Arthropoda; Insecta; Hymenoptera; Figitidae. The transcript has 3 exons. The record is from RefSeq and is a predicted model, not a curated record.